RNAcentral lists this ribosomal RNA (500 nucleotides) under uncultured bacterium. Its description in RNAcentral is "bacterial SSU rRNA". It matches the Rfam family "Bacterial small subunit ribosomal RNA", at positions 16 to 507 of the family's 1533-position model. The record is from RNAcentral.
AUCCUGGCUCAGAUUGAACGCUGGCGGCAUGCUUUACACAUGCAAGUCGAGGGGUAGAGUUCUUCGGGACUUGAGACCGGCGCACGGGUGCGUAACGCGUAUGCAAUCUACCUUAUACAAGGGGGAAUACGACCCAAGAAGUAAAGUUUGGUAAUUAAUCGCCCAUAGUAUAAUUGAAUGGCAUCAUUUAAUUAUUAAAGUCACAACGGUAAAAGAUGAGCAUGCGUCCCAUUAGUUAGUUGGUAAGGUAACGGCUUACCAAGACAAUGAUGGGUAGGGGUCCUGAGAGGGAGAUCCCCCACACUGGUACUGAGACACGGACCAGACUCCUACGGGAGGCAGCAGUGAGGAAUAUUGGACAAUGGGCGCAAGCCUGAUCCAGCCAUGCCGCGUGCAGGAAGACGGUCCUAUGGAUUGUAAACUGCUUUUAUACAGGAAGAAACACUCCGACGUGUCGGAGCUUGACGGUACUGUAUGAAUAAGGACCGGCUAACUCCGUG